CUUAGUUUUGUAGUUUAAGUGAAAAAACUGUUUUUUGUGGUAAAAAAGAUGGAGUGACCCUCCCAAACUAAGU
RNAcentral lists this transfer RNA (73 nucleotides) under Haematopinus asini. Its description in RNAcentral is "tRNA-His". Lineage: Eukaryota; Metazoa; Arthropoda; Insecta; Psocodea; Haematopinidae. The record is from RNAcentral.